ACAGUUAUGUCAGAGGGGAGUAACUUGAUUAACGUAUUCAGACGUUAAUAACACUUUGUCGUCAUUACGAAGAGGAAAUCUUCCGGUGAAGUGGGCAUAUGAUAUGCU
RNAcentral lists this small RNA (108 nucleotides) under Staphylococcus microti. Its description in RNAcentral is "Manganese sequence". It matches the Rfam family "Manganese Mn2+ riboswitch aptamer (yybP-ykoY)". From Rfam's summary of the family: This RNA was originally discovered in E. coli during a large scale screen and was named SraF. The family was later found to exist upstream of related families of protein genes in many bacteria, including the the yybP and ykoK genes in B. subtilis. Lineage: Bacteria; Bacillati; Bacillota; Bacilli; Caryophanales; Staphylococcaceae. The record is from RNAcentral.